GUUAGGAAUGGGCGUAGUCAGCGCCCUGGGGGCGGGGCCUGGGGCAGGAGGCGUAGGCUGCGUUUUCAAAAGAGGAGCGUCGGAGACCCUGGUAGGCGGAGGUGGCUUCUGAUUGGUGGAGCGCGAAGGUGAGGUGUCACGUGGGCAGUGGGCGGGGGAAGUUCCGAAUGGGAAGUGGGGAGUGCUCUGUUGUGGGCUGGCGGGGCUGAGCUUGGCCCGAGCGGAUUGCAGGGAAGCAGCGUCCUGAAAAAUAUAUAUGAAAAACACUUCUAUAUUGGUAGACCAUUCUUCCGUGCCACGUGGUGAUCCCUGACUUCCAAAUAGAAGAUGACCUUACAAGAUACUAUCUUUUUGUGCAAGCAGGCCACCUUCCCAGCAGAGCAAGCACACUGCAGUAAAACACACUAGAUCUUGCAUGCCUGACAGUUGUUAUUCCUACUCCUGCUGACAGUAUCCUGACACAGGGAAACGGUGGCCCCAGAUCCAUUAUCCAGAGGAGGACAUGCAGUCUGACAGGUCAGGCCAGGCAGCUGGGUGGGCCAGCCCCUCCUCUAAGUCCCAGUGUGUAAAAAAGCACCAUAAGGUACGAAGAGCCUAUAAAAGGGAACAACAGCCUCUUUUUGGCCAUGAGUUUCUAGGUAUCCAGGAAACCAAGCCACUGUAAUCAGUGCUGCAGACUCCUAUGUUUGAUUGUAAAGAUAUUGGUUAUUAAAUCAGCUUCCAGCCUACCAGUUCAAUUAGAAUUUUAUGGUUUUGAACAGACCAAGACCAUGGUAAGGGAAGUUCUAUGCUUUUCAGAUUAGAAGACAGAUGAAAUAGAGUCCCAACGCCUUGAUGAAGGGACUAGGUCUUCUUUGUCUCCUAAUAACUAUUUCAGGUCAAUAGAUGUGGAGUUGUUUAGCUGCCUACUAACGGCACGUUUACAUGGAAUUGUAAGACGCCAUGUUAUCAAAGGGAAAUCAGAAUAGACUGACCAUAAGCACCAAAACUUGACCAUACACCUUUCCUGUUUACCUUUCCUUCUUACGUCCUGAGACAAGAAGUGUACGACACCUAUAAGCAGACAAAAUGAAGUUACAGCUUGAACUAAAGAAAAAUCCACAUGCCUAAUCACUUCAUAAAAAACACAUCCCCAUUGUCCAACACACUUUCAUGCUAAAUAUCAUCUGGUGGACAAUUCUAGAAACUUUGUCAUUGAUUUAGACAGUGUUCUGUUUAUUCCACUAAGUGAAUCUUUUGUGAAUAAAAAUAUGUAUAUAUUAUUUUGGCAGAAUAUAAAUUCUCAAUUAAAAAUUAUUGGCAUUGCAUUCAUAUGA
Long non-coding RNA from Rattus norvegicus (Norway rat), 1316 nucleotides. RefSeq lists it as uncharacterized. Lineage: Eukaryota; Metazoa; Chordata; Mammalia; Rodentia; Muridae. The record is from RefSeq and is a predicted model, not a curated record.